UCCGCACUUCUGGCCGGUGUCUGGGGAAUCAACUUACAGCAACUUCCAGGUCAAGAAGAUUUCCAGCCUAAGAGACAGCGGCUUCUCUGGGGCGACACUUCACUUGCAGCAUAAGAAAGAGCCCAUCCUUGAGGUGCAGCUGUGGCAUCUGGACUCUUGGCCUAAAGACAAACCUGUUCCACAGAACCCGGGGGCCAUCAUUAGCCUCAUUGGCAAAGUGGAGCGGCUGCAGCAGCAGGACAAAGAGAGUCAUGUACUUGUGAUCUGUAGUGAUGGGGCAACCCGGUCGGGCAUUUUCUGUGCUGGAAGUUUAAUAUGUGACCAGAUCCGCAGCGAUGGAUUCCUGGAUGUUUCCCAAUCAGUGAGAUCCCUCAAGAAACGGAGAAGACAACUUAUUCCUAAUGUAGAUCAGUACUCGUUCUGUUACUCACUGGCUAAGACUUAUUUGGACUCCUUUGAGACCUAUGGGAAUUUCCAGUAGAAUUCCGGAGCUGUUGGACAUGGGAGAGAACCAGGAACUGCCGGUCAGUCUGACCUGAGCCGCACUGCUGACAUUUAGUUCUGUAUAUCUAAAAUGUUCUAUAUAUUUCUAACCAAUAACAAAUAAUAUUGUAGAAAAUAAAGACAUUAAAUUAUAAUAAAGUUAUUUUAUGGAUUUAAUUAUAAGAUGUUGUUAAAGCCUUUAACUAAUCAGUGUAAUUGUCUCAUUAAUUCUGUUACAUGAACCUUUGAUUAAAUGAACAGAACCAGAUCCAAUGGCUGCAGUUC
Long non-coding RNA from Xenopus laevis (African clawed frog), 768 nucleotides. RefSeq lists it as uncharacterized. The record is from RefSeq and is a predicted model, not a curated record. The transcript has 4 exons. NCBI's taxonomy places the organism in Eukaryota, Metazoa, Chordata, Amphibia, Anura, Pipidae.